GACGAACGCUGGCGGCGUGCUUAACACAUGCAAGUCGAACGGAAAGGCCCUGCUUUUGUGGGGUGCUCGAGUGGCGAACGGGUGAGUAACACGUGAGUAACCUGCCCUUGACUUUGGGAUAACUUCAGGAAACUGGGGCUAAUACCGGAUAGGAGCUCCUGCUGCAUGGUGGGGGUUGGAAAGUUUCGGCGGUUGGGGAUGGACUCGCGGCUUAUCAGCUUGUUGGUGGGGUAGUGGCUUACCAAGGCUUUGACGGGUAGCCGGCCUGGGAGGGUGACCGGCCACAAUGGGACUGAGAUACGGCCCAGACUCCUACGGGAGGCAGCAGUGGGGAAUCUUGCACAAUGGGCGGAAGCCUGAUGCAGCAACGCCGCGUGCGGGAUGACGGCUUUCGGGUUGUAAACCGCUUUCGCCUGUGACGAAGCGUGAGUGACGGUAAUGGGUAAAGAAGCACCGGCUAACUACGUG
This 468-nucleotide ribosomal RNA is filed under the name uncultured bacterium. RNAcentral's name for it is "partial 16S ribosomal RNA". It matches the Rfam family "Bacterial small subunit ribosomal RNA", at positions 28 to 507 of the family's 1533-position model. The record is from RNAcentral.